RNAcentral lists this ribosomal RNA (689 nucleotides) under Nowakowskiella multispora. Its description in RNAcentral is "eukaryotic LSU rRNA". The record is from RNAcentral. Lineage: Eukaryota; Fungi; Chytridiomycota; Chytridiomycetes; Cladochytriales; Nowakowskiellaceae.
UUUAAGAAAGGAGAUGUAGGUCUGGGGAUUCUCAGGUUUAUAUYCYUUUUUUCUCACCUUUUGUGAACUCUAAAUCGUGUGUUUUGGCAGUUUGGCGAAACUGUAACAAGCCGCUGUAUGUGGGCUGCCAAAGCUUUAUUUUUAUAAACUUACUAUUUUACUUUCUUUAUUUUGUAUUGGUCUUUGUGUGUAUGCUCAUUGGCCUAUAAAUUAAAAAUAAAAAACAACUUUUGACAACGGAUCUCUUGGCUCUCGCAACGAUGAAGAACGCAGCGAAAUGCGAUAAGUAAUGUGAAUUGCAGAACUUCGUGAAUCAUCAAAUCUUUGAACGCACAUUGCACUUCAGGGAAACCUGAAGUAUGCCUGUUUGAGUAUCAUUUUAACCUCUCAAUAAAAGUUUUUUUAUUGGACUUGAACUUUCAGCUGUAACAGGCUGAUUUUUCGAAAAUGAUAUAAAAUGUUCCUGGAAGGCCUUCGUGUCAUGCCAGGCCCAAUUUAUUGUUCUAUACUAACAGUAAAAUGGUGGAGAAAAGGGUACCUUUAGUACGCUCCCUUCAAAACUAGCGAACUUUGAUUUGCCUUUGGGCAAUUAUUAUUCGCCUUUUUUGACAGGUUGAAGUACAUUACACAAAGACGCCUAUUAUUUCAACAUACUCUGGUCUCAAAUCAGGUAAGACUACCCGCUGAAC